GGUGGGGGGGAAGGGUCUAGCAUGCGAGUCAUUGUAGCAGUACAAGGCAGACGGCUCAGUAACGCGUAGUCAAUCUACCCUAUGGACGGGGAUAACCUCGGGAAACUGAGAAUAAUACCCGAUAGAACAUUAUGCCUGGAAUGGUUUAUGUUUCAAAUGAUUUAUCGCCAUAGGAUGGGACUGCGGCCUAUCAGUUUGUUGGUGAGGUAAUGGCCCACCAAGACUAUUACAGGUACGGGCUCUGAGAGGAGUGGCCCGGAGAUGGGUACUGAGACACGGACCCAGGCCCUAUGGGGCGCAGCAGGCGAGAAAACUUUGCAAUGUGCGAAAGCACGACAAGGUUAAUCCGAGUGGUUUCUGCUAAAGGAACCUUUUGUCAGUCCUAGAAACACUGAUGAAUAAGGGGUGGGCAAGUUCUGGUGUCAGCCGCCGCGGUAAAACCAGCACCUCAAGUGGUCAGGAUGAUUAUUGGGCCUAAAGCAUCCGUAGCCCGUUUUGUAAGUUUUCGGUUAAAUCCAUGCGCUUAACGUAUGGGCUGCCGGGAAUACUGCAUAACUAGGAAGUGGGAGAGGUAGACGGUACUCGGUAGGAAGGGGUAAAAUCCUUUGAUCUAUUGAUGACCACCUGUGGCGAAGGCGGUCUACCAGAACACGUUCGACGGUGAGGGAUGAAAGCUGGGGGAGCAAACCGGAUUAGAUACCCGGGUAGUCCCAGCUGUAAACUAUGCAAACUCAGUGAUGCAUUGGCUUGUGGCCAAUGCAGUGCUGCAGGGAAGCCGUUAAGUUUGCCGCCUGGGAAGUACGUACGCAAGUAUGAAACUUAAAGGAAUUGGCGGGGGAGCACCACAAGGGGUGAAGCCUGCGGUUCAAUUGGAGUCAACGCCGGG
RNAcentral lists this ribosomal RNA (886 nucleotides) under uncultured archaeon. RNAcentral's name for it is "bacterial SSU rRNA". It matches the Rfam family "Archaeal small subunit ribosomal RNA", at positions 29 to 922 of the family's 1478-position model. The record is from RNAcentral.